RNAcentral lists this long non-coding RNA (6038 nucleotides) under Homo sapiens (human). RNAcentral's name for it is "HSALNT0047836". Lineage: Eukaryota; Metazoa; Chordata; Mammalia; Primates; Hominidae. The record is from RNAcentral.
AAACGAAUUUUUACUGGAAUUUCAAACUUUUCCAGACUUGCUAAGAUGAUUAAAAAAAAAGAAAAGAAGAAAAGGUAUUUAAGUUCUUAGCAAAUGGUGUAACUUCCCCACUUUUUGCGUAUCCAUCAAAAUGCACAACCAACAAGUGAACCAUGAAUGUCACUUCUAAAGAAUCUAUUCCUCAAAAUACAAACAUAAGUAAAACAAUAAACUAUUUAACAAGUCCCCAUCAAGAGGAAAAUGAGUUAAAUAAAAUAUGAUAUAGGAACAAAAUAGAAUAUAUAUUCUGUCAUUGAAAACGAGUUAGAGCCAGGCAUGAUGGCUCAUGCCUGUAAUCCCAGUAACUCUGAAAGCUCAGGCAGGAGGAUCGCUUGAGGCCAGGAAUUCAAGGCCAGCCUCGGUAACAUAGCGAGACCUUGUCUCUAAAAUAAGUAACUUAAAAAUAUUUUUUAAUAGAAAUAAAAAAUAUAAGCUGGGUAUAGUGGCAUACGCUUGUAGUACCAGUUACUCAGGAGGCUGAGGUGGGAGGAUGACUUGAGCCCAGGAGAUCUGAAGAUGCAGUGAGCUAUGAUCGUGCUACUGCACUCCAGCCUGGGCAACAGAGCGAAACCCCAUCUCAUUUAAAAAAAAAAAAAAUUACAUUUAGACAGGUAUCUAAUAGGGUAUCCAAUAUAGUCACGCAUCUCUUAAUGACAGGGAUAUGUUCUGAGAAAUGCAUCACACACUUGGCAGUUUUGCCAUCAUGGGAACAUCAUAGCAUAUCUUACACGAAUGUCGAUGGUAUAGCCUACUAUAUAUACAUCUAGGCUGCAUUAUCUAGCCUACGGCUCCUAGGCUACACACCCGCACAGCACGUUAUUGUACUGAAUACCAUAGGUAAUUGUAACACAAUAGUUAAGUAUUUGUGUAUUUAAGUGUAUCUAAACAUAGAAAAGGCAGUAAAAAUACAUUAUAAUCUUACGUGACCACUGUCAUAUAUGCAGUCUGUGUCUGUCACUGACUGAAACUUCAUUAUAUGCUGCAUAAAUGCCUAUUGUUAGGUUAAAAAAAAAAAAAAAAAAGACAAGUUCCAGCACAGGCUGCAUAAACUUAUAUGCACCUAGAUGUGAGGAGAAGGAUACAUACCAAGCUAUAAACUCCACACCUCUAGAGCCUGGUAUCCAGGAGAAAGGAAAUGGGGAAAUUCACCUUUUCCUUUAUGCCUAUUUGUUUUCCUUGAAUUUAUUAUGCAGAGCACAUUUACUUCAGAAAUUAAAAAAUAAUAAAGUUUAAGACAAAUUAUGUCAUUGAACCAGGAUAUUCCCUACAAGCUAUGUGGAUACAGAAUGCUUGCUCACUAUUGUGUUACUAACAUAUUGCCUAAUACUAAGGAGAUUCAUGAUAGCAGCAAAUGAAGGGAGAAAGGAAGGGAAGAAAGGAAAACAUUUAAAGGAGAUUAAGGGGCAGAUGUAGUUUUGAAAAACCGUAUGUCGUCAGUAGGACUGACUUAUUUUUCUAAGCAUUUGUUCAACAAAUAUUAAAAAACUAUUACUACAUGUAAAGUGCUUUACUAAACAUUCUUUUAAAAAUGCAAAAAAAUGACAAGUUUCUGCUUUCAAGUAGCAUGCAAUCUAACAAAGGGAAAUGGGUAAACAGCUAGCCAUAUGAUACAUGAAAGAAAUGUGUUAAGGAGUGAUGUCAGCAAGAUGACAAUAUAGGAAAACGCAGUCCCUCCUUCCCCUACAGAAACAUGGAUUUAACAAUGCUAUAUGGGCCUAUUUAUUGCCUGUGUAAGAAACCCAGAAACCACUUAAGAAGUUCCUACACUCCGGGACAGAAGGAAACCAACCGCAUCAAAGGCUGGUAGAAAAAUGCAAGGCAUUCGCUUGCCAGAGACCCUCCCCUCAGCACAGUACAAAGUAAUAGGGAAGAAAUCCCUAAGAGGAGUGGAACACACAUCCAAUAUUCUGACUUCUGGGGUGCAAGAAACUUGCUUCUGUCUUUCCUGAAUCUAAAUAACAGGAACAGGGCACCAGGUUGGGAGCUGUCAAGAACAAAGAUUAACAUGAACCAGAGGCUGCAGUAUCACAGACACUAGGUAGAGCUCCAGUACCAUGGCCAACUACAGCACCAGUGAGGCCACAAUAUCACAGACAGACACCAGAGGGAGCUCCUGAGUAGAAACCAGCAAACCUCUUCAAUUAGAUUGUACCCCACAAACUCAAAAAGGACACAGCCUCGGAAAAGGCUUAAGAUGGCUGGCUCUAGAAUCCGUAGUAGGGCUGACUGGACAAAGUCCUCUCAAUACAAAAGCAGACUGUAAGACAGAGAAAGGUAGCUGAUUUUUCAAAUGCUGACAUCCCAACAAAAAUAAAGACAUACAAAGAAAUAGAAAAACACAGGCUAUCAAAAGAUCAAAUUAAAUCUCCAGAAAUAAACCCCAGAAAGACAUGGAAAUAGAUGAAUUACCAAAUUCAAAAUAACCGUCAUAAGAAUGCUCAAUGAAUUACAAGAGAGUACAGACAGACACCUGAAAAAAAACAAGAAAACAACGCAUGAACAAAAUGAAAGUAUAAAUGAAAGAAAUUUUUUUAAAAUGAAGAACCAAAUAGAAAUUCUGGAACCAAAUACAAUAAAUGGAUUGAAAAAUUCACUAGAGGAUCGACAGCAACUUGACCAGGUAGAAAAAAGAAUCUAUGAACUCCAAGACAGGACUUCUGAAAUUACUAAGAGAGGAAAAAUGUAAAAAUGAAGAGAACCUAAGGAAUGAAUGGGACACCAUCAAGUGGAAAAAUGCUCAUUAUAGGAGUUCAGAAAAAGAAGACAGAAAGGAGCAGAAAGCCUAUUUGAAGAAAUCAUGGCCAAAACCUUCCUGUAUCUGAGAAGAGAAAUGGGAGUAUAAAUUCAAGCAGCUCAAAACACUCCACUAGGAAGAGAACUACACCAAAACACACUCGUAAUCAAGCUGUCAAAAGUCACAAAAAAUCUUGAAAGCAGCAAGAGAAAAAUGACUCAUCACAUACAAAGAAGCUCUCAUUGAACUAUCAUUUAUCAGCAGAAAACUGGCAGGUUAGAAAAUAGUAGUAUUCAAAAUACUGAAAGAAAAAAAAUUGUCAACCAAGAAUACUGUAACCUAAACCUGUCCUUCGAAAAUAAGGGAAAAAUUAAGACUCCUUGAUAAACAACAGUAGAGGGGGUUUAUCACCACUAGACCAGUCCUACAAAAAAUAAUGAUAGGAGUACUUCAAGUUAAAGCAAAAUGAAAACAAACAGUAACACAAAACCAUAAGAAACUACAAUACUCCUUGGUAAAGGUAAAUACAUAGGCAAAUACAGAAUUCUGAAAGUAAUUUGAUAUAGGUGUAUAAGUCACAUUUAAAUCUGUAUAGAAUUUAAAAAACAAAGACAUAAAAAGUAAUUAUGAAUCUAUAUUAAUGACUACACAAUAAAAAGGUCUUUUUUGAGGGAGGAGCAGAGUUACAAAGGAGUCAAGUUUUUAUAUGAGACGGAAGAUUAAGCUGCUAUCAAACUAAAAUAUACUGUUAAUAAUUUUAAGAUGUUUUAUGUAACUGUAUUGACAACCACAAAGAAAAUGUCUAUAGAACAUACACAAAGAUAAAAGACAAGGGAAUCAAAGAAUGUAAUUAUACACACAAAAAAUCAACAAAACAAAAGAAGGCAGCAAGAGAGGAAAAGCUACAAGAUAUACAGAAAAUAGUUAACAAAAUGGAAAUAGGUAUGAAAAGUCUUUCAUAUCAAUAAUGACCUGAAAUGUAAAUUAAAUGCCCAAUUAAAAGAUACAGAUUGACCAACUGAAUAUAAAACAAGACUCAAGUAUAUGCCAUCCACAAGAAACAUACAUUAGAUCCAAGGGCAUGCGUAACCUAAAGUGAAGGAUGGAAAUAGAUAUUCCAUGAAAAUAAGAACCUAAAGGGGAUGGCCAUACUUAAAUAAAACAGACUUUAAGACAAAAAUUGUCACAAUAGACAAAGAAGGACAUUAAUUACAAUAUAAUGAUAAAAGAGUCAAUUCUCCAGGAUGAUAUAACAAUUACAAAUAUACGCGUAACUUGAGUGUUUCUAAAUAUAUGAAGCAAACACUGACAUAACUAGGGGAAGAAAUAGAAAGCAAUACAAUAAUAGUAGGAGACUUCAAUACUCCACUUUCAUUUAUGAAUAGAACAAUCAGAAGAUCAAAAAGAAAAGUUAUAUGUAGGAAACUCUAAAGACACACACACAACCUUCAUAACUAAUAAAGAUUCCAGCAAAGUUGCAGGAUAAAAAAAAUCAACACGAAAAAUCAAUUGCAUGUCUAUACACUAACAAUAACUGUUCUGAAAAAGAAAUUAAGAAAACAAUACCAUUUAAUGUAGCAUCAAAAAGGAGGAAAUACUUAGGAAUAAACCUAACCAAGGAGGUGAAAGACUUGUACCCUGAAAACUACAAAAUGUUACUAAAAGAAAUUUUAAAAGACACAAAUAAAUGCAAUGUCCUGAUAAGGUUUAGUUCUGGGUCCCCACCCAAAUCUCAUCUCAAAUUAUAUUCCCCAUAAUCCCGACAUGUCAAGGGGGGAACCUGGUGGGAGGUGACUGGAUCAUGGGUGCGGUUUCUCCAUGUUGUUCUCGUGAUGGUGAGUGAGACCUCACAAGAUCUGAUGGUUUUAGGGGCUCUUCCCCCUUCGCUUUCUCUCUCUCUCUCUUCAUUUGCUCUCUCGCCUGCCGCCAUGUAAGAUGUCCCUUUGCUUCCCUCUCUCCCCUUCUGCCACAAAUGUACAGUAAGUUUUCUGAGGCCUCCCCGAGCCAUGCAGAACUGUGAGUCAAUUAAACCUCUUUCCUUUAUAAAUUACCCAGUCUCAGGUAUGUCUUUAUAGCAGUGUGAGAACAGACUAAUACAUGUUCAGAAUUUGUAAGAAACUUGUACAACUUAACUACGGGGGUGGGGUGGGGGGGGAGGGUGCAGAAUUCUGAUUUUAAAAUGGGCAAAGGACUUGAAUCGACAAUUUUCUGCAGAAGAUAUGUAAAUGGCCAACAAGUAUAUAUAAGAUGCCCAACAUAACUAAUAAAAAGAGAAAUGCAAAUCAAAACCACAAUGAGAUAUCACUUCACAUCUGUUAGAAUGGAUAUUAGAAAAAAAUAUACAAAUGUUGGUGAGGAUGUGGAGAAAUGGAAACCCUUAAUACCGUUGGUGGGAAUGUAAAUCAAUAGUCAUUAAGGAACACAGUAUGGAGUUUCCUGAAAAAAUUAAAUAUAGUAUUAAUAAUUGCCAUAGGAUCUAACAAUCUCAUUUCUGGGUAUAUAUCCAAAAUAAUUCAAAGCAGAAUCUCAAAGCCAUAUUUGCACAUCUAUGUUCAUCACAGCAUUAUUCACAAUACCCAAAAGGUAGAAACAACCCAAAUGUCCAAACACAGAUGAAUGGAUAAAGAAAAUGUGCAAUAUACAUACAAUGGAGUAUUACGCAACCUAAAAAAGAAAAAUCCUAUCACAUGGUACAAUAUGAAUAAACCCUGAAGAUACACUAAAUAAGACAGUCACAAAAGAAUAAAUACCGUAUGAUUCCACAUGUAUGAAGUACCUCAAGUAAUCAAAAUUUUAGAAACAUAAAGUAAAAAGGUGGAGGGAAGGGGGAGAGAGGGAAGGGGAAUUAGUGUAAUGGGUAUAGUGUCUCCGUUUUGCAAGAUGAAAUAGUUAUAAAGAUCAGUUGUGCAAUAAUGUAAAUACACUUAACAUUACUGAAUUGUACACUUAAAAUGUUAAGAUAGUAAAUUGAACGUUAUGAGAUUUUUACUACAAUAAAAGAAAGAAAUAUGCAAAAUUAAAGACAUAAAGUGCCUUGGGAGUAAAAAAAGAUGUAUUAACUCUAACCUGUAAAAGUAAACAUAGAAAUAAUACACAAGGUUUCAGUCUUCAAAGAUUAAAAAUAUUUCAGGAGUGGUUUCCAAAGGAAUAUACACUAUGAGCAAAACCAAUAAGGCAUGUACCACAGGGCUGACUUAAAAGACUGUGUGGAAUCUGACAUUACUGAAAUGUGAAGAGACUAAAAAGUAAAUGCUGGAGCCUGGCA